This 72-nucleotide transfer RNA is filed under the name Cytospora mali. RNAcentral's name for it is "tRNA-Thr". It matches the Rfam family "tRNA". From Rfam's summary of the family: Transfer RNA (tRNA) molecules are approximately 80 nucleotides in length. Their secondary structure includes four short double-helical elements and three loops (D, anti-codon, and T loops). Further hydrogen bonds mediate the characteristic L-shaped molecular structure. tRNAs have two regions of fundamental functional importance: the anti-codon, which is responsible for specific mRNA codon recognition, and the 3' end, to which the tRNAs corresponding amino acid is attached (by aminoacyl-tRNA synthetases). tRNAs cope with the degeneracy of the genetic code in two manners: having more than one tRNA (with a specific anti-codon) for a particular amino acid; and 'wobble' base-pairing, i.e. permitting non-standard base-pairing at the 3rd anti-codon position. The record is from RNAcentral. Lineage: Eukaryota; Fungi; Ascomycota; Sordariomycetes; Diaporthales; Cytosporaceae.
GCCUGGUUAGCAUAAAUAGUAAUGCAUCCGUUUUGUAAUCGGCAGAAUCAAGUGCAAUUCUUGAACUGGGCU